This 427-nucleotide ribosomal RNA is filed under the name uncultured bacterium. RNAcentral's name for it is "partial 16S ribosomal RNA". It matches the Rfam family "Bacterial small subunit ribosomal RNA", at positions 355 to 774 of the family's 1533-position model. The record is from RNAcentral.
UGGAGAAUAUUGGACAAUGGGCGAAAGCCUGAUCCAGCCAUGCCGCGUGUGUGAAGAAGGUCUUCGGAUUGUAAAGCACUUUAAGUUGGGAGGAAGGGCAUUAACCUAAUACGUUAGUGUUUUGACGUUACCGACAGAAUAAGCACCGGCUAACUCUGUGCCAGCAGCCGCGGUAAUACAGAGGGUGCAAGCGUUAAUCGGAAUUACUGGGCGUAAAGCGCGCGUAGGUGGUUUGUUAAGUUGGAUGUGAAAGCCCCGGGCUCAACCUGGGAACUGCAUCCAAAACUGGCAAGCUAGAGUACGGUAGAGGGUGGUGGAAUUUCCUGUGUAGCGGUGAAAUGCGUAGAUAUAGGAAGGAACACCAGUGGCGAAGGCGACCACCUGGACUGAUACUGACACUGAGGUGCGAAAGCGUGGGGAGCAAACA